GGCAUCACACUGUUCUUCUUCACUUGUCCAGUUUCCUGUACUUGGUCUAUGAACAAGACGAACUCCAUGUGAGGCCUGCUGACUUAAACAGACAGACCAGAAACUCUACUGCAUAUAAAACAGUGGUCUGGAUUUAUCUCGCAUCACCGGCUUCUAACAAAACGCCAGCGACAGGAAACCUGAGUGAGGACCCAUCUGCCUGCCUCCCUGCUCAGCUCCCCACUCCAAGCCUAUUCUGGAUCUGCUUUGGACACUCCUCACCCGGAACCCCCUGGACACUCCCUCCUCGAUUGACACUUCAAAUCUGCAACGCGUAAGCCCAAACCACCAUAGCCUAAUCCUCCAGCUGUGAUUCAUUGAGACUACCACUGACUACUUUCCUCCUCUCAUCAUAGUGACUUCACACCUCCCUCCAAGCCGCUGCCCCCUUUCUCCAUUCCCCGGAUCCCUCUGUGGAAUCCAGCCCUCAGAGUUUCUCGUUCACAGUUUUGCCUCACAGUUUUCCGCUCAUAGCUUUCACAGUUCAUAGCAUGCAUAGGUUAUAGCAUUCUUAGUUUUCUGUUUUGUAACUUCGCUUAGCUCUGUAAAUAAACUUUGUGCU
Non-coding RNA from Maylandia zebra (zebra mbuna), 601 nucleotides. NCBI's taxonomy places the organism in Eukaryota, Metazoa, Chordata, Actinopteri, Cichliformes, Cichlidae. The record is from RefSeq and is a predicted model, not a curated record.